AGUGAACGCUGGCGGUAGGCCUAACACAUGCAAGUCGAACGGCAGCACAGUAAGAGCUUGCUCUUACGGGUGGCGAGUGGCGGACGGGUGAGGAAUACAUCGGCAUCUAAUUUUUCGUGGGGGAUAACGUAGGGAAACUUACGCUAAUACCGCAUACGACCUACGGGUGAAAUCAGGGGAUCUUCGGACCUUUCGCGAUUGAAUGAGCCGAUGUCGGAUUAGCUAGUUGGCGGGGUAAAGGCCCACCAAGGCGACGAUCCGUAGCUGGUCUGAGAGGAUGAUCAGCCACACUGGAACUGAGACACGGUCCAGACUCCUACGGGAGGCAGCAGUGGGGAAUAUUGGACAAUGGGCGCAAGCCUGACCCAGCCAUACCGCGUGGGUGAAGAAGGCCUUCGGGUUGUAAAGCCCUUUUGUUGGGAAAGAAAAGCAGCAGGUUAAUACCCCGCUGUUCUGACGGUACCCAAAGAAUAAGCACCGGCUAACUUCGUG
This 492-nucleotide ribosomal RNA is filed under the name uncultured bacterium. RNAcentral describes it as "partial 16S ribosomal RNA". It matches the Rfam family "Bacterial small subunit ribosomal RNA", at positions 29 to 507 of the family's 1533-position model. The record is from RNAcentral.